RNAcentral lists this ribosomal RNA (253 nucleotides) under uncultured bacterium. Its description in RNAcentral is "partial 16S ribosomal RNA". It matches the Rfam family "Bacterial small subunit ribosomal RNA", at positions 524 to 776 of the family's 1533-position model. The record is from RNAcentral.
UACGAAGGGGGCUAGCGUUGCUCGGAAUCACUGGGCGUAAAGCGCACGUAGGCGGAUCUUUAAGUCAGGGGUGAAAUCCUGGAGCUCAACUCCAGAACUGCCUCUGAUACUGGGGAUCUUGAGUCCGGAAGAGGUAAGUGGAACUGCGAGUGUAGAGGUGAAAUUCGUAGAUAUUCGCAAGAGCACCAGUGGCGAAGGCGGCUUACUGGUCCGGUACUGACGCUGAGGUGCGAAAGCGUGGGGAGCAAACAGG